Molecule: ribosomal RNA, 873 nt
Filed under: Psychrobacter sp. QJJN63
Lineage: Bacteria; Pseudomonadati; Pseudomonadota; Gammaproteobacteria; Moraxellales; Moraxellaceae
Description: bacterial SSU rRNA
Rfam family: Bacterial small subunit ribosomal RNA
Source: RNAcentral
ACUUUAAGCAGUGAAGAAGACCUAACGGUUAAUACCCGUUAGCGAUGACAUUAGCUGCAGAAUAAGCACCGGCUAACUCUGUGCCAGCAGCCGCGGUAAUACAGAGGGUGCAAGCGUUAAUCGGAAUUACUGGGCGUAAAGCGAGCGUAGGUGGCUUGAUAAGUCAGAUGUGAAAUCCCCGGGCUUAACCUGGGAACUGCAUCUGAUACUGUUAGGCUAGAAUAGGUGAGAGGAAGGUAGAAUUCCAGGUGUAGCGGUGAAAUGCGUAGAGAUCUGGAGGAAUACCGAUGGCGAAGGCAGCCUUCUGGCAUCAUAUUGACACUGAGGUUCGAAAGCGUGGGUAGCAAACAGGAUUAGAUACCCUGGUAGUCCACGCCGUAAACGAUGUCUACUAGUCGUUGGGUCCCUUGAGGACUUAGUGACGCAGCUAACGCAAUAAGUAGACCGCCUGGGGAGUACGGCCGCAAGGUUAAAACUCAAAUGAAUUGACGGGGGCCCGCACAAGCGGUGGAGCAUGUGGUUUAAUUCGAUGCAACGCGAAGAACCUUACCUGGUCUUGACAUAUCUAGAAUCCUGCAGAGAUGCGGGAGUGCCUUCGGGAAUUAGAAUACAGGUGCUGCAUGGCUGUCGUCAGCUCGUGUCGUGAGAUGUUGGGUUAAGUCCCGCAACGAGCGCAACCCUUGUCCUUAGUUACCAGCGGGUUAAGCCGGGAACUCUAAGGAUACUGCCAGUGACAAACUGGAGGAAGGCGGGGACGACGUCAAGUCAUCAUGGCCCUUACGACCAGGGCUACACACGUGCUACAAUGGUAGGUACAGAGGGCAGCUACACAGCGAUGUGAUGCGAAUCUUUCAAAGCCUAUCGUAGUCCAGA